This 450-nucleotide ribosomal RNA is filed under the name uncultured Glomeromycotina. Its description in RNAcentral is "SSU rRNA". It matches the Rfam family "Eukaryotic small subunit ribosomal RNA", at positions 569 to 1020 of the family's 1831-position model. Lineage: Eukaryota; Fungi; Glomeromycota. The record is from RNAcentral.
AGCAGCCGCGGUAAUUCCAGCUCCAAUAGCGUAUAUUAAAGUUGUUGCAGUUAAAAGCUCGUAGUUGAAUUUCGGGAUUGACACAUCGGUCGUGCCUUAAGGGGUAUGAACUGGUGUAGUCAAUUUCUCACCUUCUGGAGAACCGCGAUGCCCUUAAUUGGGUGCCGCGGGGAACCAGGACCUUUACUUUGAAAAAUUAGAGUGUUUAAAGCAGGCAUUUUGCUUGAAUACAUUAGCAUGGAAUAAUAAAAUAGGACGGCAUGAUUCUAUUUUGUUGGUUUCUAGGAUCACCGUAAUGAUUAAUAGGGAUAGUUGGGGGCAUUAGUAUUCAAUUGUCAGAGGUGAAAUUCUUGGAUUUAUUGAAGACUAACUACUGCGAAAGCAUUUGCCAAGGAUGUUUUCAUUAAUCAAGAACGAAAGUUAGGGAUCGAAGACGAUCAGAUACCGUCG